GCCCGGCUAGCUCAGUCGGUAGAGCAUGAGA
This 31-nucleotide non-coding RNA is filed under the name Bombyx mori (domestic silkworm). RNAcentral also lists the same sequence under 13 other names. Lineage: Eukaryota; Metazoa; Arthropoda; Insecta; Lepidoptera; Bombycidae. The record is from RNAcentral.